GGGGGGGGUUCCUUCCGAGCGCUGCAGUUCCGGCAAGGUUACCGAGGCUAGCGAAAGAGGUCUCAAUUACUCCAGAAAAUAAAACUUGAAUCAUUCAUUUGUUGGAAUGGGACAGUUUUGAAGGUCUGCACUUGGGAAUUCAUCUCCUUUCCUGCUCUGCCCAGUGGGCCGAACCCUGGAGGAAAUUUCAUGGCUGCAGACUGAAAAAUUGAGAACCUGUAACCCGCAUUUUUACACUUCAGAAUUGAGCACUUUACACCCACUAGGCAACACGUUAUAUUUAACUUGCAUUAUGUAUAGUCCUACUCACCUGAAAAUACACGAUUUUCAUUGUGAAUAAGAUUCGUUCCAUAAGUUGUCUGCAUUCACUUGCUCUCAUGAAUAUUAAUUGGUGGUCUGCUCAGCAUCCAUUUUCCCCCUUUUCCAUUCCUAAGGGCAACCUGAUUGCUGACCAGGUAGCUGCCCCCCUUCCAUACACAAACACACAUAUGUGCACACAUUUAUGCUUUCCUUCAUCUAUGAGCCUAUGUCUACGACAGGAUUUCUCUUGUUACACAAUCAAAAGGCCUUUGUAGAUAGUAAAUAAACAGGCUGCAGAUGGCAAUGAGUUUGUGGGAAAAACAGAUGAAUAACAGAGUAAGGAACAGGGCUGGUGGGUGAUAGUAUACUCCCCUCAAAUGGUAAUUAUCCGGUGUUAAAUUCUCUGACACCAGAGCCAUGCAAAAGGACAGGUCCCUAGAGGGCCUGGCUGCACUUACCAGGACUGACAGUGGCAGGCAGUUAACAGGGAAGGAUCUUGAGACAUACCCAGAAAGGUGAGAUCCCAGGAAAUCAUUCUGAGCAGCCAGAAGCCGGAGAGAGGAGAGCAGGGAUCCAGGAGACAAAGUGGGCCAGAUGGUAAAGAAGCAGUAAGGCCAAGGCACCAAAGAAAUGAUAGGAACUAGGGCUAGUAGGGGGGCUGAAAAGCUCAAGGUAAGCAUCAAUGAAACAGGCUGGGAUGGAGCUUGGUGUGUGUGUGUGUGUGUGUGCGCGCGCGCACGCGCGCGCGCACGCUCAGGAUAAGGGUAAUUCAGAAACUCAUCUCAAAGAAGUGGGAAUGUAGUUUCAGACCCCUUAUCUGAAUGUUUUGGUUGCUCCUGCCAACAGCGUUGAGCCAGCAGAUUCCAACCAAAUUGUGUUUCACUGAGAAUAAACAUCAUAGCAGAAUGGACUACCUACACUUUUAACUCCAUAACCUUAUCAUAUAAGAAUAAGUUUACUGGGGCGCCUGGGUGGCUCCAUCGGUUGGGCCUCCGACUUCGGCUCAGGUCAUGAUCUCGCGAUUGGUGAGUUUGAGCCCCACGUCGGGCUCUGUGCUGGCAGCUCGGAGCCUGGAGCCUGCUUCGGAUUCUGUGUCUCCCUCUUCCUCUGCCCCUCCC
Molecule: long non-coding RNA, 1418 nt
Organism: Neofelis nebulosa (Clouded leopard)
Lineage: Eukaryota; Metazoa; Chordata; Mammalia; Carnivora; Felidae
Exons: 3
Source: RefSeq, a predicted model, not a curated record